AAAGUCACAGCUCUGAGAGUUUUCAUUUCUAGUUUUCUGAGGGAACAGAGAGUCCUAAAACUACAAAUAUUUGGUUAACCUGAAAAGAGUUUGUUUGAAAAGUCAACUAUUGAAAACAGUUUGUCUCUGGACGUACAGAGAGAUGAACAACCUCUGAACAAGGAAUGAGAUUUUAUCAUUCACUAAAGGCCUUCACAGCAAAACCAAAUGAACAAAAUGCACCUCCAACAUUUCUCAACUGUCACUCAUGUUACAAGGGAAGAUUAUUAUCCAAGAAGAUAAAGUUCAGGGGAUUCUUAAAGGAAGAUCCCAGAUCAGAUAGAGAUGAGAAUAACAGAAGAUGAUUGAUCUUCUUUACUCUUCGCUCACGGAGGCAGAAGAAUGCAAGGAAGUUCUUUAAAAAGCAUGUAGGCGCACGUUCAAGAAAAGACCUUGGGAUUCGGUUCUCACAGGCUAUCUGCAGGACUGGCUUCUCCACCAAGACUGGACGACUGGGGAGGUGGGAGGGAGGCCACUGCCCAGGUGUGACUCCUGCCGAAAGUGGUGAUUAAGACCAGAGGUAUGAGAGGAUCGGAAAGCUCAGUGGGUUUGAAAGCUGAGACAAGAAUUGGAAAUAAAGAGAAACAACCGCGGUGAGAUUCAGACACCGCGGGGCCACUGAAGGCUCAGGAGAUGUUUAAGGUCAGUCAUGGUCACGGCCAGCAGUUCAGGAAAUAUGUGGGGGCACACAGGCCAGAAUUCCAAAUUUAUGUCCCCAGAGAAAGAACUAGCUGGUUUAAAAGAUUCACAGUUGAGACCGGAAUCAGGUAUGAAAGGGAAAGGAUCUUUAGGAUUCACCAGCAGUCAACAGAGCGUUCACACCAACAGCUUCUGAGAGUAAAGCCCAAUACUGCUUUGCCCAUGCGGUGUCUUCACUUGCCUCCGCCAGCAGUCCAGCUCAGAGAUACCCACGGACUGCAGAGUCUCCCUCAAGACUCUCUGGAGGCCAGAAAUAAGACGAUGCUUCUUAAACAAGCAAGGCUGCUGCUCACUGUGGUCCAUGGACCGGCAUCAUCAGCGUCACCAGAGAACUUGUCAGCAAUGCAGAAUCUCAGGCCCCAUCCCAGACCCAUUGAAUGGGAAACUGCGUUUUUACAAGACCCCCAGGCAAUGCUAUG
RNAcentral lists this long non-coding RNA (1157 nucleotides) under Equus caballus (horse). RNAcentral describes it as "lncRNA (ENSECAG00000048711.1)". Lineage: Eukaryota; Metazoa; Chordata; Mammalia; Perissodactyla; Equidae. The record is from RNAcentral.